AUGGCUGCUGCACCCAAUGCCUUCUCGGCUCAUUUGGAGAAGUGGAUCGUUGAGCAGAUAAAAGAUUCCAUCUUUUUUGUGAAUGUCUUUCCCAACUUGAACUACAAAGAGGAUUUGGAAAAUCUUAUGGCUGCGGUGAAAACUGUUCCAGUGAAGAAAAGAGAAGAGGUGCUGAAACAGGGACAAUGUGGCACUGGCUCUGUUGUGGGAGUUACAGAAGAUGAAAUCACCAUCCUAUCAAGUGCCCAUCUCAUUGAGCAUGUCUUCACAGUUUCAAAGCCCAUUUCCGUUCGCGACGCCAAUACGUAUUUCUAUACAGAUGUACUUUGCGAUCACUAUGAGGCUAGUUUCAGUGAACCUGGGCAAAGGAGACAUAGUGAAAGGCAGUAUGGCGCAGCUACAAUUAUUGGCAUAGAUUGUGCACAGGACCUGCUCCUCAUCUCCGUCCCACGAGUGAAUAUCAGGAACUUGGCGAGGAAGUGCACUUCCAAUCAUCCUCCUCUUACCUUCAGUUCAGUCCCUCCAGUGCAACUUGAUGAGUGUGUUAUGCUCUCGUGGCCUCCAUUGCAGCACCGGACUGUGGUUAAGGGUAGUAUCUGUCACAUGAAAAGAGCACUCUAUGAUUUAGUGAAGGAGGAGAACAACCCUGUUGGGUAUGGGAUGAAUCUCAUGCAAGUAAAGAUCGCGAGUGAGAAAGGGAGCUCUGGUAUUGGAUGGCAGGGGAAAUGUUAUUGGGAUCCUACAUGGAGGCUUGGGAGGUCCAUUCUCUUACUUUGUCUUGCUCUGUCGCAUACUACCGUUCCUGAGAAAAUAUGGCAUAGAUCCGUGUGUGGGGUAGUAAUUUGUCCAUGCUCAUUCCUGUCCAGAGGACAUGCCACUCCCACUGCUAUUGGUGUUUCUUGA
RNAcentral lists this ribosomal RNA (903 nucleotides) under Triticum aestivum (bread wheat). RNAcentral's name for it is "partial small subunit ribosomal RNA". Lineage: Eukaryota; Viridiplantae; Streptophyta; Magnoliopsida; Poales; Poaceae. The record is from RNAcentral.